UAAGAACCUCUGGGAACUCCUUCAAGACUGUUGGAAAACCAUUUCAGAGAAAAUGAUAUGUGUUUUGCAGGAAUGCAACUGGCUGCAAACGUUACAACUAGAGACAGCUCCAAUAUCCAUGGUAGCUCUAGAGGAGCUGCAGAGAUCCACAGCUCAGGUGGGAUAAUCUCCACAAAUCUGGCCUUUAUGGAGAAGAGGCAAGAAAGCCAUUACUGGAAGAAAGCCAUAAGAAAUCCCAUCUGCAGACAGUGAACAUGUGGAAGAAGGUGCUCUAGACAAGUUUUGCCAAGGAAAAGUAGCAAAACUUUGAGUAGAUGUGCAAAGCAUACCCCAAAAGUCUGUUAUUGCAGCAAAUGGCAGUUCUACACAGUAUUGAUUCAGGAAAGCUGAGCACACAACAGUUUUAUCAUUUCUAUUUGUAAUAAAUGUUUAAAGCAAUAUA
Girardinichthys multiradiatus is the source of this 442-nucleotide long non-coding RNA. RefSeq lists it as uncharacterized. The transcript is spliced from 3 exons. The record is from RefSeq and is a predicted model, not a curated record. Lineage: Eukaryota; Metazoa; Chordata; Actinopteri; Cyprinodontiformes; Goodeidae.